Molecule: transfer RNA, 70 nt
Filed under: Allantus togatus
Lineage: Eukaryota; Metazoa; Arthropoda; Insecta; Hymenoptera; Tenthredinidae
Description: tRNA-Met
Source: RNAcentral
AAAAAGAUAAGCUAAAUUAAGCUUUUGGGUUCAUACCUCAACUAUAAAAAUUAUAAUUUUUUUCUUUUUA